CAUUUUGAACCGCAUGGUUCGAAAUUGAAAGGCGGCUUCGGCUGUCACUUAUGGAUGGACCCGCGUCGCAUUAGCUAGUUGGUGAGGUAACGGCUCACCAAGGCAACGAUGCGUAGCCGACCUGAGAGGGUGAUCGGCCACACUGGGACUGAGACACGGCCCAGACUCCUACGGGAGGCAGCAGUAGGGAAUCUUCCGCAAUGGACGAAAGUCUGACGGAGCAACGCCGCGUGAGUGAUGAAGGCUUUCGGGUCGUAAAACUCUGUUGUUAGGGAAGAACAAGUGCUAGUUGAAUAAGCUGGCACCUUGACGGUACCUAACCAGAAAGCCACGGCUAACUACGUGCCAGCAGCCGCGGUAAUACGUAGGUGGCAAGCGUUAUCCGGAAUUAUUGGGCGUAAAGCGCGCGCAGGUGGUUUCUUAAGUCUGAUGUGAAAGCCCACGGCUCAACCGUGGAGGGUCAUUGGAAACUGGGAGACUUGAGUGCAGAAGAGGAAAGUGGAAUUCCAUGUGUAGCGGUGAAAUGCGUAGAGAUA
Molecule: ribosomal RNA, 536 nt
Filed under: Bacillus sp. (in: firmicutes)
Lineage: Bacteria; Bacillati; Bacillota; Bacilli; Caryophanales; Bacillaceae
Description: bacterial SSU rRNA
Rfam family: Bacterial small subunit ribosomal RNA
Source: RNAcentral